This is a small nuclear RNA of Pseudophryne corroboree (corroboree frog), 190 nucleotides long. RefSeq annotates it as U2 spliceosomal RNA. The transcript has a single exon. NCBI's taxonomy places the organism in Eukaryota, Metazoa, Chordata, Amphibia, Anura, Myobatrachidae. The record is from RefSeq and is a predicted model, not a curated record.
AGGACGCUGAUGCAUUUGGCUAAGGUCAAGUGUGGUGUCUGUUCUUAUAAGUUUAAUAUCUGAUACGCCACCUAUCUGCGGACCAUAUAUUAAUUGGAUGUUUAGAACAGGGAGAAGGGAAAAGAGCUUGCUCUGUCCACUCCACGUGUUGACCAAGUAAUGCAGUACUUCCAGGAGCGGUGCACCUUUC